CAAUAGCGUAUAUUAAAGUUGUUGCAGUUAAAAAGCUCGUAGUUGGAUUUCGGGGUGGCCUGGCUGGUCCGCCGCAAGGUGAGUACUGGUCAGCCGCCCUUCCUCUCGAAAGCCCCGACUGCUCUUUACUGCAGUGGUCGGGUAGUUCGGGACGUUUACUUUGAAAAAAUUAGAGUGUUCAAGGCAGGCUAUCGCCUGAAUACAUUAGCAUGGAAUAAUGGAAGAGGACCUCGGUCCUAUUUUGUUGGUUUCUAGGGCCGAAGUAAUGAUUAAGAGGGACAGUUGGGGGCAUUCGUAUUUAAUUGUCAGAGGUGAAAUUCUUGGAUUUAUGAAAGACGAACUAGUGCGAAAGCAUUUGCCAAGGAUGUUUUCAUUAA
RNAcentral lists this ribosomal RNA (377 nucleotides) under uncultured eukaryote. RNAcentral's name for it is "partial 18S ribosomal RNA". It matches the Rfam family "Eukaryotic small subunit ribosomal RNA", at positions 592 to 976 of the family's 1831-position model. The record is from RNAcentral.